UACGAAGGGGGCGAGCGUUGUUCGGAUUUACUGGGCGUAAAGGGCGCGUAGGCGGCCUUGUCAGUCAGGCGUGAAAGCCCCGGGCUCAACCUGGGAACGGCGCUUGGGACGGCGAGGCUGGAGUUCGGGAGAGGAGAGUGGAAUUCCCAGUGUAGAGGUGAAAUUCGUAGAUAUUGGGAAGAACACCGGUGGCGAAGGCGGCUCUCUGGACCGACACUGACGCUGAGGCGCGAAAGCGUGGGGAGCAAACAGGAUUAGAUACCCUGGUAGUCCACGCCGUAAACGAUGUGUGCUAGACGUUGGGGAGCCUAGCUCUUCGGUGUCGCCGCAAACGCAUUAAGCACACCGCCUGGGGAGUACGGCCGCAAGGUUAAA
This 375-nucleotide ribosomal RNA is filed under the name uncultured bacterium. RNAcentral's name for it is "bacterial SSU rRNA". It matches the Rfam family "Bacterial small subunit ribosomal RNA", at positions 524 to 898 of the family's 1533-position model. The record is from RNAcentral.